Molecule: long non-coding RNA, 2657 nt
Organism: Spinacia oleracea (spinach)
Lineage: Eukaryota; Viridiplantae; Streptophyta; Magnoliopsida; Caryophyllales; Amaranthaceae
Exons: 3
Source: RefSeq, a predicted model, not a curated record
AUUUCUAAAAAUAAUUCCCAACAUUUUUUCUUUUCCCGCUUCUCCUCUCCUUCCUCUUCUCUGGUUUCCCUAAAACCUACUCUCACCUUCCCCUCUCUGGUUUCCGGCUCCUAGUUUCUCUUCUCUUCCCCUCUGCGGUUAUCUGGGCAGGAAAUCAAUACUCACAACACACACCGCACUCCCACCGCCGCAUCGCCGCAGCUGCUCCCCACCGCCGCAUCGCCGAUGUUUCCCCCCACCACAGAAUUUGUCCUCUUCCUUCCGCGACCACAGCAUAAAGGCGUCGCUCCUCCUUAUCUCAUAUAGGUGUCAUAGAACUGCUAGAAACUGCAGGGAAGAGCUGAACUAAGACUCGUGAAUCCUGAGAUGCUUAAGCCAAUGUGCACUGCAUUUAGCAUUCUUGAUAAGUGUGGGUGCCUAAUACCUUGUAGGAUCUAAUGCUGUUGAAUGUGUUCAGUUUAUGAGUGGACUGUAAGAUCUCAAUCUUUGGUGCCAAAUACCAGUUCAUGCUCUGUUGUGUUUCCCAGUUGACCUUUUUCGAGCAUAAUUUUGAGUUUAGCAGUAAUAAGCCAAAAAAUAACAUAGAUUUAACUAUGUAUUAAAAAAAGUUUUGGAUCUUUUGAUCAAUGAAAAUCAGUAUAGUUGGUCUUGACCAGUCUACAAUCUUAAAUUUUGUUCUAAAUUUUUUACAGCAAUCCUUGUAAAUUUGUUGCUCUUUAAACUGUUAAUUUUCUCAAUGUGAAAAUCACAAUGGUUGAACCUUAAGAAUUUGUUUGAUAAUUUUCCUUCCGCAUUUUCUUCCAUAGGUGCAUAAUCAUGACCAAGCAUGACAGUCAUUGAUUUCAUUUCACCUUUUCUCUUGAUUAAUGUAGGUCGAUAACAUAUCGAUAUUAAAACAAACACUCACGGUAGUCUUUGAAACAUAAAUCUAAGUGUAUUAAACAUGUUAAGGGUUUAAAAUACUCAUUUAGGUUCAUUAGUUGAAAGGUGGGACCGAAAUAAAUCAUUUAAGCCAAAAUGUGACCUAUAAUGAUCAAAUGAACCUUAAAUGUGUAUAACUUGACCAAAGUCGGUGAUAAUGAGUUUUUGAAACAUAAAGCUAAGUGUAUUAAAAAUGUAAAGGGUUUAAAAUACCCAUUUAGGUUCAUUAGUCUAAAGUUUCGACCGAAAUAAGCCAUUUUAGUCAAAAUGUAACCUAUACUUAUCAAACGAGUUUCAUAUAUGCAUAACUUGACUAAAGUAGGCGAGAAUGAGUAUUUGAAACAUAUAUCUAAGUAUAUAUUAAACAUAUAAAGGGUUUUAAAUACUUAUAUAGGUUCAUUGGUUGAAAGUUAGAACCGAAAUAAGUCAUUUUAGUCAAAAUGUGGCCUAUAAUGAUCAAACAAGUCUUAAAUGUGCAUAAUUUGACCAAAGUAUGUGAGAAUAAGCAUCUGAAACAUAAAAUUAAGUAUGUUAAACAUAGAAAGACUUUAAAUUACUCAUUUAAGUUCAUUAGUUGAAAGUUGGGAUCGAAAUUAGCCAUUUUAGUCAAAAUGUGACCGAUAAUGAACUAACAAAGCUUAAAUUUGCAUAACUUCACCAAAAUGGUGAGAAUGAGUCUGUGAAACAUAAAACUAAGUGUAUUAAACAUGGAAAGACUUUAAAAUACUCAUUUAAGUUCAUUAGUUGAAAGUUGGGACCGAAAUUAGCCAUUUUAGUCAAAACGUGACCGAUAAUGAACUAACGAAGCUUAAAUGUGCAUAACUUCACCAAAAUGGUGAGAAUGAGUCUUUGAAACAUAAAACUAAGUGUAUUAAACAUGGAAAGACUUUAAAAUACUCAUUUAAGUUCAUUAGUUGAAAGUUAGGACCGAAAUUAGCCAUUUUAGUCAAAACGUGACCGAUAAUGAACUAACGAGACUUAAAUGUGCAUAACUUCACCAAAUGGGUGAGAAUGAGUAUUUGAAACAUAAAACUAAUUGUAUUAAACAUGGAAAGACUUUAAAAUACUCAUUUAAGUUAAUUAGUUGAAAGUUGGGAUCGAAAUUAGCCAUUUUAGUCAAAAUGUGACCGAUAAUGAGCUAACGAGGCUUAAAUGUGCAUAACUUCACCAAAAUGUGUGAGAAUGAGUCAUUGAAACAUAAAACUAAGUGUAUCAAACAUGGAAAAACUUUAAAAUACUCAUAUAAGUUCAUUAGUUGAAAGUUGGGAUCGAAAUUAGCCAUUUUAGUCAAAAUAUGGCCGAUAGUGAUCAAAUGAGUCUUAAAUGUGCAUAACUUCACCAAAAUGGGUGAGAAUUAGUAUAUAUAAAACUAAGUGUAUAAAACAUGUACAGACUUUAAAAUACUUAUUUAAUUUCAUUAGUUGAAAGUUGGGACCGAAAUUAGUCAUUUUAGUCUUAAAUACCUCCAGCGCACUCCACAGAGCAGCCAUGCUCGGGUCACUCCCCAGCGCAGUCCGGGAAGCCCGCUUCAUCUCGUACAAGAGGUGGCUAUAUGCCAAGCCACCCCAGUUAUAGCUCGAAACAUCUCUCAAGUCCCUCAGAACGGACAGAAACCUGAUGUGCACCCGACUGUUCCUACUCGGGACCAUCACUCUGCUCACCAAGGCUAGGAGAAAGAGCCUAACCCUCGGCCUACAGGUGAACGAGUUAACUCCAAACCUAUACAAAUACAAAAU